Molecule: microRNA precursor, 73 nt
Organism: Bos indicus x Bos taurus (hybrid cattle)
Lineage: Eukaryota; Metazoa; Chordata; Mammalia; Artiodactyla; Bovidae
Source: Ensembl
CAGAAGGGAAAGAGUUUGUAUUGUUUCUUUUGUAUUUUUAAGACACUCAAACCAAAGUCUUUUCUGUUUUCUG